CCUACGGGAGGCAGCAGUGGGGAAUAUUGCGCAAUGGGCGAAAGCCUGACGCAGCGACGCCGCGUGAGGGAUGAAGGUCUUCGGAUCGUAAACCUCUGUCAGCAGGGAAGAAAGGUCACUGUGCUAAUCAGCAGUGAAUUGACGGUACCUGCAAAGGAAGCACCGGCUAACUCCGUGCCAGCCGCCGCGGUAAUACGGAGGGUGCGAGCGUUAAUCGGAAUUACUGGGCGUAAAGCGCUCGUAGGCGGUAUGUCAAGUCAAGGGUGAAAUCCCCGCGCUCAACGUGGGAACUGCCUUUGAAACUGGCAAACUGGAGUGUGGGAGAGGAUAGUGGAAUUCCAGGUGUAGGAGUGAAAUCCGUAGAUAUCUGGAGGAACAUCAGUGGCGAAGGCGACUAUCUGGCACAUAACUGACGCUGAGGAGCGAAAGCGUGGGUAGCAAACAGGAUUAGAUACCCCAGUAGUC
RNAcentral lists this ribosomal RNA (465 nucleotides) under uncultured bacterium. Its description in RNAcentral is "partial 16S ribosomal RNA". It matches the Rfam family "Bacterial small subunit ribosomal RNA", at positions 338 to 795 of the family's 1533-position model. The record is from RNAcentral.